Molecule: non-coding RNA, 208 nt
Organism: Anopheles arabiensis
Lineage: Eukaryota; Metazoa; Arthropoda; Insecta; Diptera; Culicidae
Source: Rfam
AAUAAAUGAAAAUGAGUAUCAGGAAGUACGCCGCCGCUACCAAUGGAUUCAAUGAUACCAGGCAUUGUGCCAGUGUGUCUCCACCUCCUACUCCUACUCAAUACAACCUCGUCGUACAGAACGUUAACAUGUCUCUCAACUAUUCAAGCUUGGGUAUACGGGGUAACCCAUCUGUGGGCGAAUGGGUUGCAUGGCUAAAUUGAUAGGC